GUCAUAAUUAUUCUUGAGUCUCUUCCAGGAGAGUUUGAACAAUUUAAGGUCAACUAUAACUCUCUAAAGGAAAAAUGGCAACUCUCUGAGAUGACCGCAAGGAUCGUCCGGGAGGAAGAGAGGAUCAUGAGGCAAAAGAAAGACCAUGUUUUUCAUGUUGGCUCUCACAAGAGAAAGCAUGACAGGCAAGGUUUUCCCAAGCCUCGGAAAAAGCAAGUCAAGAAAGAAGGCACUAAGCCAUUCAACCCUAAGGCAUUCAAGGGUAAAGAAGCCGGCAGUUCUUCUUCUGCUCCUAGCAGCUCCACUGUUGGAGAAAAUGCUUGUAACUUCUGCAAAGUGGAGGGACACUAUCAAAGGGACUGCCCAGGCUUUCUAAAAUGGAUGAACAAAAGAGGGAUUCGAUACGAUCCAAACUAUAAG
This 420-nucleotide ribosomal RNA is filed under the name Triticum aestivum (bread wheat). RNAcentral's name for it is "partial small subunit ribosomal RNA". Lineage: Eukaryota; Viridiplantae; Streptophyta; Magnoliopsida; Poales; Poaceae. The record is from RNAcentral.